RNAcentral lists this ribosomal RNA (497 nucleotides) under uncultured bacterium. RNAcentral's name for it is "partial 16S ribosomal RNA". It matches the Rfam family "Bacterial small subunit ribosomal RNA", at positions 28 to 507 of the family's 1533-position model. The record is from RNAcentral.
GAUGAACGCUGGCGGCGUGCCUAAUACAUGCAAGUCGAGCGAACGGACGAGAAGCUUGCUUUUCUGAUGUUAGCGGCGGACGGGUGAGUAACACGUGGAUAACCUACCUAUAAGACUGGGAUAACUUCGGGAAACCGGAGCUAAUACCGGAUAAUAUUUUGAACCGCAUGGUUCAUAAGUGAAAGACGGUCUUGCUGUCACUUAUAGAUGGAUCCGCGCUGCAUUAGCUAGUUGGUAAGGUAACGGCUUACCAAGGCAACGAUGCAUAGCCGACCUGAGAGGGUGAUCGGCCACACUGGAACUGAGACACGGUCCAGACUCCUACGGGAGGCAGCAGUAGGGAAUCUUCCGCAAUGGGCGAAAGCCUGACGGAGCAACGCCGCGUGAGUGAUGAAGGUAUUCGGAUCGUAAAACUCUGUUAUUAGGGAAGAACAUAUGUGUAAGUAACUGUGCACAUCUUGACGGUACCUAAUCAGAAAGCCACGGCUAACUACGUG